UGGGGAAUUUUGGACAAUGGGUGAGAGCCUGAUCCAGCCAUGCCGCGUGCAGGAAGAAGGCGUUAUGCGUUGUAAACUGCUUUUGCCAGGGGAUAAAAAGACCGUGCGCGGUUAAUUGAAGGUACCUGGUGAAUAAGCCACGGCUAACUACGUGCCAGCAGCCGCGGUAAUACGUAGGUGGCAAGCGUUGUCCGGAUUUAUUGGGUUUAAAGGGUGCGUAGGUGGCCCUGUAAGUCAGUGGUGAAAUAUCUCAGCUUAACUGAGAGGGUGCCAUUGAUACUGCAGGGCUUGAGUACAGAUGAGGUAGGCGGAAUUGACGGUGUAGCGGUGAAAUGCAUAGAUAUCGUCAAGAACACCGAUAGCGAAGGCAGCUUACCAAGCUGUAACUGACACUGAGGCACGAAAGUGUGGGGAUCAAACAGGAUUAGAUACCCAUGUAGUCCCUGAGCGGGCUGGCAAGGCGCAU
RNAcentral lists this ribosomal RNA (466 nucleotides) under uncultured bacterium. Its description in RNAcentral is "bacterial SSU rRNA". It matches the Rfam family "Bacterial small subunit ribosomal RNA", at positions 355 to 825 of the family's 1533-position model. The record is from RNAcentral.